GAUGAAGAACGUAGCGAAAUGCGAUAAGUAGUGUGAAUUGCAGAAUUCAGUGAAUCAUCGAAUCUUUGAACGCACAUUGCGCCCCUUGGUAUCCCGAGGGGCAUGCCUGUUCGAGCGUCAUUUCACCACUCAAGCCUGGCUUGGUGUUGGGCGACGUCCUCUUUGGGGACGCGCCUCGAAACGCUCGGCGGCGUGGCACCGGCUUUAAGCGUAGCAGAAUCUUUCGCUUUGGAAGUCGGGGCCCCGUCUGCCGGAAGACCUGCUCGCAAGGUUGACCUCGGAUCAGGCAGGCAUACCCGCUGAACUUAAGCAUAUCAAUAAGCGGAGGA
RNAcentral lists this unclassified non-coding RNA (329 nucleotides) under soil metagenome. RNAcentral's name for it is "partial contains 5.8S ribosomal RNA, internal transcribed spacer 2, and large subunit ribosomal RNA". The stretch from base 1 to 120 matches the Rfam family "5.8S ribosomal RNA", at positions 35 to 154 of the family's 154-position model. The record is from RNAcentral.